This 468-nucleotide ribosomal RNA is filed under the name uncultured bacterium. Its description in RNAcentral is "partial 16S ribosomal RNA". It matches the Rfam family "Bacterial small subunit ribosomal RNA", at positions 28 to 507 of the family's 1533-position model. The record is from RNAcentral.
GACGAACGCUGGCGGCGUGCUUAACACAUGCAAGUCGAACGGAAAGGCCCUGCUUUUGUGGGGUGCUCGAGUGGCGAACGGGUGAGUAACACGUGAGUAACCUGCCCUUGACUUUGGGAUAACUUCAGGAAACUGGGGCUAAUACCGGAUAGGAGCUCCUGCUGCAUGGUGGGGGUUGGAAAGUUUCGGCGGUUGGGGAUGGACUCGCGGCUUAUCAGCUUGUUGGUGGGGUAGUGGCUUACCAAGGCUUUGACGGGUAGCCGGCCUGAGAGGGUGACCGGCCACAUUGGGACUGAGACACGGCCCGGACCCCUAGGGGAGGAAGGAGGGGGGAUUUGUGCAAAAGGGGCGGAAGCCGUAUCAAGCAACGCCGGGUGGGGGAUGACGGCCUUCGGUUUGAAAACCGUUUGCGCCGGUGAGGAAGGGUGAGGGAGGGAAAGGGGUAAAGAAGCACCGACAAACUACGUC